This 494-nucleotide ribosomal RNA is filed under the name uncultured bacterium. RNAcentral's name for it is "bacterial SSU rRNA". It matches the Rfam family "Bacterial small subunit ribosomal RNA", at positions 501 to 991 of the family's 1533-position model. The record is from RNAcentral.
CUACGUGCCAGCAGCCGCGGUCAUACGUAGGGUGCAAGCAUUAUCCGGAGUGACUGGGCGUAAAGAGUUGCGUAGGCGGUUUAAUAAGUGAAUAGUGAAACCUGGUGGCUCAACCAUACAGACUAUUAUUCAAACUGUUAAACUCGAGAAUGGUAGAGGUAACUGGAAUUUCUAGUGUAGGAGUGAAAUCCGUAGAUAUUAGAAGGAACACCGAUGGCGUAGGCAGGUUACUGGGCCAUUUCUGACGCUAAGGCACGAAAGCGUGGGGAGCGAACCGGAUUAGAUACCCGGGUAGUCCACGCCGUAAACGAUGGAUACUAGCUGUUGGAGGUAUCGACCCCUUCAGUAGCGAAGCUAACGCGUUAAGUAUCCCGCCUGUGGAGUACGGCCGCAAGGCUAAAACAUAAAGGAAUUGACGGGGACCCGCACAAGCGGUGGAGCAUGUGGUUUAAUUCGACGCAACGCGAGGAACCUUACCAGAUCUUGACAUCCCG